GGAUUAAUAGGCCGGAGGUGUACGCCCAGUGAUGGGUUCAGCUGACCGGUACUACUACGCCGAGGCCUUUUCCUC
Molecule: ribosomal RNA, 75 nt
Filed under: Synergistaceae bacterium
Lineage: Bacteria; Thermotogati; Synergistota; Synergistia; Synergistales; Synergistaceae
Description: partial 23S ribosomal RNA
Source: RNAcentral